Homo sapiens (human) is the source of this 166-nucleotide non-coding RNA. It matches the Rfam family "Metazoan signal recognition particle RNA". From Rfam's summary of the family: The signal recognition particle (SRP) is a universally conserved ribonucleoprotein. NCBI's taxonomy places the organism in Eukaryota, Metazoa, Chordata, Mammalia, Primates, Hominidae. The record is from Rfam.
GCUGGGCACAGAGGGGCAGGUGCCUGUAGUCCCAGCUAUUCAGGAAGCUGAGGUCGGGGGAUCGCUUGAGGCCAGGAGUUCCAGGCUGCAGUGCACUAUGAUUGUGCCUGUGAAUAGCCACUGCACUGCACUCCAGCCUGGACAACAGAGCGAGACCCCAUCUCUU